RNAcentral lists this ribosomal RNA (468 nucleotides) under uncultured bacterium. Its description in RNAcentral is "partial 16S ribosomal RNA". It matches the Rfam family "Bacterial small subunit ribosomal RNA", at positions 28 to 507 of the family's 1533-position model. The record is from RNAcentral.
GACGAACGCUGGCGGCGUGCUUAACACAUGCAAGUCGAACGGAAAGUCCCUGCUUUUGUGGGGUGAUCGAGUGGCGAACGGGUGAGUAACACGUGAGUAACCUGCCCUUGACUUUGGGAACACCUCAGGAAACUGGGGCUAAUACCGGAUAGGAGCUCCUGCUGCAUGGUGGGGGUUGGAAAGUUUCGGCGGUGGGGGAUGGACUCGCGGCUUAUCAGCUUGGUGGUGGGGGAGUGGCUUACCAAGGCUUUGACGGGUAGCCGGCCGCGGAGGGUGACCGGGCACAUUGGGACUGUGAGACGGCCCAGACUCCUACGGGAGACAGCAGUGGGGAAUAUUGCACAAUGGGCGGAAAACUGAUGCAGCAACGCCGCGUGCGGGAUGACGCCCUUCUGGUUGUAAACCGCUUUCGCCUGUGACGAAGCGUGAGUGACGGUAAUUGGUAAAGAAGCACCGGCUAACUACGUG